AGUCUGGUGCCAGCAGCCGCGGUAAUUCCAGCUCCAAUAGCGUAUAUUAAAGUUGCUGCAGUUUAAAAGCUCGUAGUUGGAUCUGGGGCUUGAGGUCGCUGUCUAUCGUUUCGGCGAUGACGGUGAUGCUCAGCUCUGCUUGCCGGUGACUGUUGCGGUGUUCUUCACUGAGCGCUGUAGCAGCACGGCACGUUUACUUUGAAAAAAUUAGAGUGCUCAAAGCGUGCUUGUCGCUUGAAUAAUGUUGCAUGGAAUAAUGGAAUAGGACCUCGGUUCUAUUUUGUUGGUUUUCGGAGCUUGAGGUAAUGAUUAAGAGGGACGAACGGGGGCAUUCGUAUUGCGGUGUUAGAGGUGAAAUUCUUGGAUCGCCGCAAGACGGACUACUGCGAAAGCAUUUGCCAAGAACGCUUUCAUUAAUUAAGAACGAAAGUCAGAGGUUCGAAGACGAUCAGACACCGUCCUAGUUCUGACCAUAAACGAUGCCGACCAGCGAUCCGUAGUGGUUGCUUUAUGGACCCUACGGGCAGCCUCCGGGAAACCAAAGUAUUUGGGUUCCGGGGGAAGUAUGGUUGCAAAGCUGAAACUUAAAGGAAUUGACGGAAGGGCACACCAGGAGUGGAGCCUGCGGCUUAAUUUGACCCAACACGGGAAAACUCACCCGGUCCGGACACCGUAAGGAUUGACAGACUGAUAGCUCUUUCUUGAUUCGGUGGAUGGUGGUGCAUGGCCGUUCUUAGUUGGUGGAGUGAUUUGUCUGGUUAACUCCGAUAACGAACGAGACUCUAGCCUGCUAAGUAGUGUUGCUAUUGUUAUAUGGUUGACACUUCUUAGAGGGACAAGUGGCAUUUAGCCACGCGAAAUUGAGCAAUAACAGGUCUGUGAUGCCCUUAGAUGUCCGGGGCCGCACGCGCGCUACACUGGAGAAGUCAGCGUGUGUUAUCCAAGUCCGAAAGGACUGGGUAAUCCGUUGAACCUUCUUCGUGCUUGGGACUGUGGCUUGGAACUAUUCCACAUGAACGAGGAAUUCCUAGUAAUUGCAAGUCAUAAGCUUGCGUUGAUUACGUCCCUGCCCUUUGUACACACCGCCCGUCGCUACUACCGAUUGAAUGGUUUAGCAAGGUCCUCGGAUCGUGGCCGUAGGGGCACGCAAGUGUUUCUGCGGUUUGCGAGAAGACGACCAAACUUGAUCAUUUAGA
Molecule: ribosomal RNA, 1196 nt
Filed under: metagenome
Description: SSU rRNA
Rfam family: Eukaryotic small subunit ribosomal RNA
Source: RNAcentral